ACACUUCGAAAGGGGUGCUAAUACCGGAUAAGCCCACGUGGUCUUUGGACCGUGCGGGAAAAGGGGGGGACCUUCGGGCCUUUUGUCAUCAGAUGAGUCUGCGUACCAUUAGCUAGUUGGUAGGGUAAUGGCCUACCAAGGCUACGAUGGUUAGCUGGUUUGAGAGAAUGAUCAGCCACACUGGAACUGAGACACGGUCCAGACUCCUACGGGAGGCAGCAGUGGGGAAUUUUGCGCAAUGGGCGAAAGCCUGACGCAGCAACGCCGCGUGAGUGAUGAAGGCUUUCGGGUCGUAAAGCUCUGUCGAGGGGAAAGAAGUGUACGGGGGCUAAUAUCCUCUGUACUUGACGGUACCCCUAAAGGAAGCACCGGCUAACUCCGUGCCAGCAGCCGCGGUAAUACGGGGGGUGCAAGCGUUGUUCGGAAUUAUUGGGCGUAAAGAGCGUGUAGGCGGUUUGUUAAGUCUGAUGUGAAAGCCCUGGGCUCAACCCAGGAAGUGCAUUGGAAACUGGCAGACUUGAAUACGGGAGAGGGUAGUGGAAUUCCUAGUGUAGGAGUGAAAUCCGUAGAUAUUAGGAGGAACACCGGUGGCGAAGGCGGCUACCUGGACCGAUAUUGACGCUGAGACGCGAAAGCGUGGGUAGCAAACAGGAUUAGAUACCC
Molecule: ribosomal RNA, 663 nt
Filed under: uncultured bacterium
Lineage: Bacteria
Description: bacterial SSU rRNA
Rfam family: Bacterial small subunit ribosomal RNA
Source: RNAcentral